CCCUGGGUGGUGCAACAGUUAGCUCACUUGGCUACUAACCAAAAGGCUGGAGGUUUGAGUCCUCUCACAGACA
Molecule: transfer RNA, 73 nt
Filed under: Loxodonta africana (African savanna elephant)
Lineage: Eukaryota; Metazoa; Chordata; Mammalia; Proboscidea; Elephantidae
Rfam family: tRNA
About the family: Transfer RNA (tRNA) molecules are approximately 80 nucleotides in length.
Source: Rfam by way of RNAcentral